CUUUUUUUUUUUUUUUUCCCUUUCUCUGCUGCCUUCUUCUCACUUCCUUAAUGCAAUAGCCCUUUAUGUUGAUGAGCGAACUGAAUUGAAGCCCAAACAGCCACAAAUAGGAAAGGGGGCAGGCGUUCAAGUGCAGCAACUUUUAGAGCUUGAAGAUUGAACGGACAAGGGCUGAGGUCAUGAGGCUACGCGAGCGGCGCAGGAGAGUACGAGAGCAAGGAAGAAGAGAGCUUAGGGAGUUAGGGUUUCUUCAUAUUAUUAGGCUGGGCUUUC
This 273-nucleotide unclassified non-coding RNA is filed under the name Hevea brasiliensis (rubber tree). Lineage: Eukaryota; Viridiplantae; Streptophyta; Magnoliopsida; Malpighiales; Euphorbiaceae. The record is from RNAcentral.